RNAcentral lists this ribosomal RNA (1002 nucleotides) under Natrinema pallidum. Its description in RNAcentral is "bacterial SSU rRNA". It matches the Rfam family "Archaeal small subunit ribosomal RNA", at positions 74 to 1073 of the family's 1478-position model. Lineage: Archaea; Methanobacteriati; Methanobacteriota; Halobacteria; Halobacteriales; Natrialbaceae. The record is from RNAcentral.
ACUCGUAGCAGAUAGCUCAGUAACACGUGGCCAAACUACCCUAUGGAUCCGAAUAACCUCGGGAAACUGAGGCUAAUAUGGAAUAGCGUUCAUCGCCUGGAGUGGCACGAACGCGAAACGUUACGGCGCCAUAGGAUGUGGCUGCGGCCGAUUAGGUAGACGGUGGGGUAACGGCCCACCGUGCCCAUAAUCGGUACGGGUUGUGAGAGCAAGAGCCCGGAGACGGUAUCUGAGACAAGAUACCGGGCCCUACGGGGCGCAGCAGGCGCGAAACCUUUACACUGCACGCGAGUGCGAUAAGGGGACUCCGAGUGCGAGGGCAUAUAGUCCUCGCUUUUCACGACCGUAAGGUGGUCGUAGAAUAAGUGCUGGGCAAGACCGGUGCCAGCCGCCGCGGUAAUACCGGCAGCACGAGUGAUGACCGCUAUUAUUGGGCCUAAAGCGUCCGUAGCUGGCCACGCAAGUCUAUCGGGAAAUCCGCGCGCUUAACGCGCGGGCGUCCGGUGGAAACUGCGUGGCUUGGGACCGGAAGACCAGAGGGGUACGUCCGGGGUAGGAGUGAAAUCCCGUAAUCCUGGACGGACCACCGGUGGCGAAAGCGCCUCUGGAAGACGGAUCCGACGGUGAGGGACGAAAGCUCGGGUCACGAACCGGAUUAGAUACCCGGGUAGUCCGAGCUGUAAACGAUGUCUGCUAGGUGUGGCACAGGCUACGAGCCUGUGCUGUGCCGUAGGGAAGCCGUGAAGCAGACCGCCUGGGAAGUACGUCCGCAAGGAUGAAACUUAAAGGAAUUGGCGGGGGAGCACUACAACCGGAGGAGCCUGCGGUUUAAUUGGACUCAACGCCGGACAUCUCACCAGCAUCGACAAUGUGCAGUGAACGUCAGGUUGAUGACCUUACUGGAGCCAUUGAGAGGAGGUGCAUGGCCGCCGUCAGCUCGUACCGUGAGGCGUCCUGUUAAGUCAGGCAACGAGCGAGACCCGCACUCCUAAUUGCCAGCAA